AGAUUUAAAAGAAUAGAUAUAUAUCAUUUUCUA
This 33-nucleotide transfer RNA is filed under the name Gastrostomobdella extenta. RNAcentral describes it as "partial tRNA-Cys". The record is from RNAcentral. Lineage: Eukaryota; Metazoa; Annelida; Clitellata; Hirudinida; Gastrostomobdellidae.